UACUCUGCCGGCUUCAGUGCAAGGCACCUGCUUCAAACAGUUACAUUCAUAAACACCUAAACUCUACGAAACCAAAAAAGUGUUGCUAUAUCCAAUUACAGACUACAUACGGCCAUAAAUUUAGUACAUUUUAAUGAGUUAGUAAAUCAUCAUUCUAAAUAUACUUUCUCAUAAACACGUAGAUGUGUAGAUGUACAAAUGUUUGCCGGUGCACCUAUCUCUCUGCCGAAAUAUUGUAUCGAUCCGAAGAUAAAUUUCGAUAAGGACUGAUAAGUUUUGUUAUAGUUUUAAAUAGUAAGAACGGUCACUAGGCUUCAGUCGUGGACAACUGUCAGACUCGCGAUCAGUGAUUACAAAGUUUUUCUAAUUUAAAUCAACAAAAUGUGCUGCUGUGUGUGUAAUCUCUUAUGCAAGAUCCUCAGUUUGAUCGUAUCUCUACUGUUCAUCGUGGCUGUCAUACUGCUCAUCUUAUGGGGCGUUGGAGUUAUAUUUGGCAAUAAUAAUACCGACACCGCCAAAGCGCUGAGCUUUAACGAAAUGACCUACAAUAACCCGAAACUACUUUGAUUACAACGACAACCUAUCUUCAUAAAUCUUACUAUACUUGUAAUACGAAAAAUGCAAUCCUGUGUACUCGUCAAUAUACACGAAAAAGAUCAAAAUGUAACUUCUCUCUCACUGUUUUAAUUGUAUAAAUUAUUACUUAUUAUAAUAUAACGUAAGCUAUUUUCUUAUCUUCAUUCUUUUCUUUCUCUCCUUCUCUUUAGUUUUAAUUGUAAAUAUAGCUUAAGUUAUAAAUAUAAACGUUGCUAGUUAUGAAUAUAUUGCACUAUAUUGUAUAUCUAGCUUCACGCAUUCAAUGCAUUUUAAAAACAUGUGACUAUUGGAUAAAACAUAGACUGAAUCUUGUCUGAAUCUUUGACUUUUAUGAUCAAAGGUCUAUUGACUUGUAACCCAACAAUCGCAUGUGUAAGUUCGCUUUUAUAUACAGUAUGUCUAUGAAUAUCUUCGCUGAUGGCAAAGAACAAACAACUAACAAACUAUUCGAAUUACGUCCACCAAUUACGUAUUUGACCUGAACCAAUUGAUAGAGCAUAUAUGUAAGUAAAUUGCCCGUAGUUAGUAGGUAAGUACAUGGUUACACUUCGUUUGUUUUGAGUAACUUAUAAUGCAUCACAUUUCUUCAUCUAACAAUUAAUGAAAAGAUCUUUUAGACAUUAAGCUCUUACACAGUUUAAGGCACCCAUGUACAAAUAUGGCUAGCAAAUAAAUGUUUAAAUAGAAGGUUGUUAUUUACUCGCUUAAGUCAAAAUCUUGAUCACACUAUAUCUGCUUGAAUAAUAAUAAUGUACUGGGAUCGAUCUAUCAUCACUGACAAGACUAUAGUAGCCAAGCAAUAAGCCUGAUAUAGUGUUGAUGUCGCCAUGUGGAAUGUCAACACGGCUGUUAUUGUGCCGAUUGUCGUUACGGCAAAUGGUCUAAUAGCCAAGAGCCUCGACCAACACCUCAUGAGGCUCUCGUUAGGUGGCUAGAUCAAGGGUCUGAUUCAGAGGGCAGUACUCCUUGAUACGGCGCGUAUUGUGAUGAUGUUUCUGUCCCUGGGCUUACUUACCGGUACCUUGUGGCUGAUGUUUUAUAUUUUUAAAUAUUUUUAUAUUGAUAUUUAAAAAAAACAUUAUGUUAUGUACACAAUUAAUGAAUAAACGAAAUAAUUUUAUCAUCGGUUUCCCCAUUCCUUUUCCAUUGCCAUCCCAUCACUCUUCUUAGCAUUGUACUUGAGUCACAAUAAAAAGUACGAUCAAGAAGAGUUUUUGUCAAUUGUUUUCAUCCAUAAACAAUUUUGAAGUUUUAGACAGACUUGUCAAAGUAAUUUGUAAGAAUGUCACCAGUUCAGUCUUUGCUAACGCUAAAUAUUAUAAUUAACACGUUAAUUCCGAGAAUAGAACUAACUACAGAAUAAUUAUUUGUUUAUAACGCUUAGAAGUCAUCAUAUAAUUGUGGAAACCUAUGGAUUUAUAGUAAGAAGCAGAAAACACAAACAUGUGCUUUAUGUGCAAGCUUCUUUGUCAGAUCUGCAGCUUGACGAUGGGUGUCAUGGUCGUCGGUGCGAUCUUCUUUUUAGCAUUCUGGUUCCUUCGAUGGUUAUUCGAUAGCUGUAAGCAUUUCUUCUUUUCGAAAUAGUUUUCAUGCGUAGAUUGAAGGGCACUUGAAGUAUUUUAGUCAUCUGCUGUUGUUAUAUAGACUGUGGUAUAGAUUCAUCAUCAUCCUCCUGCCCUUAUCCCAAUGUUAUUUGGGGUCGGCGCAGCAUGUUUUCUCCUUCCAUACUUUUCUAUGAGCCGUCAUCUCGCAAGUUACAUUCUUUCUAAUUAUAUCAUCUUUCACUGUAGUAUAGAUGCUUAUGUUUUAAUAUUUCCGACUAGUAGGUACAUUUUUUGUAUAGUAAAAGUAGAGAUAGGUUAGACUGUUUAUGGCAUAUGCACUUUGGGUUCUUCCAACUAGAUUGUUACUAUAUGAUUUUACUUCCCUUUAUUAACGCUAGACUUAAAAUAACAAAUUUAUAUUAUUUGCUAGAUUUGAUUACGUUAAAACUCGCUUUGAUUCAUAACAAUGUUUGCAUUUGUACUUUUUCUAAUCUGAAAAAUCCCAAAUGAAUCCACUGAAGAUGAUAAAAAUAACAAUUGUUUUCUUGUUUUCAGAAAUCAAGAUUAUAAUUUAGAUUGUAAGUCUAAGUUAUAAGUCAAAGGAUUGACUUUAAGGAUUGGUUUAAGUUAAGACUUAAGUUUUAGUAGUUCGGUUUACAACUGCACGCUUUUGACUAUCAUGACUUGUUAGCGGUUGAAGAUGUCUUCUAUACCAUGAAAAUAUCUUAAAAUAAUUUUAUUCUGGCUCAAGGUAAAAUAAAUAAAUUGUAUUAAACUCUA
Helicoverpa armigera (cotton bollworm) is the source of this 2921-nucleotide long non-coding RNA. RefSeq lists it as uncharacterized. The transcript has 4 exons. Lineage: Eukaryota; Metazoa; Arthropoda; Insecta; Lepidoptera; Noctuidae. The record is from RefSeq and is a predicted model, not a curated record.